AACUUUCAACAACGGAUCUCUUGGCUCUCGCAUCGAUGAAGAACGCAGCGAAAUGCGAUAAGUAAUGUGAAUUGCAGAAUUCAGUGAAUCAUCGAAUCUUUGAACGCACCUUGCGCUCCUUGGUAUUCCGAGGAGCAUGCCUGUUUGAGUGUCAUUAAUAUAAUCAACUCCUUCAGCUUUUGUUGAGUGAGUUGGAUGUGGGGGUUUUUGUUGGCUUUAACAGUCAGCUCUCCUAAAAUGUAUUAGCAGAACAAUCUCUUGACUGUUCAAUUAGUGUGAUAAUUAUCUACGCUAUUGAACUGUGAGGCAAGUUCAGCUUCUAAUAGUCCAUUGGUUUGGACAAUUUUAUUUAA
RNAcentral lists this ribosomal RNA (353 nucleotides) under Austrocortinarius australiensis. RNAcentral's name for it is "eukaryotic LSU rRNA". The stretch from base 1 to 154 matches the Rfam family "5.8S ribosomal RNA". Lineage: Eukaryota; Fungi; Basidiomycota; Agaricomycetes; Agaricales; Cortinariaceae. The record is from RNAcentral.